UACGUAGGGGGCGAGCGUUGUCCGGAUUUAUUGGGCGUAAAGAGCUCGUAGGUGGUUCGGUAAGUCGGGUGUUAAACCCCCAGGCUCAACCUGGGGACGCCACUCGAUACUGCUGUGACUAGAGUCCGGUAGGGGAGCGUGGAAUUCCUGGUGUAGCGGUGAAAUGCGCAGAUAUCAGGAGGAACACCAGCGGCGAAGGCGGCGCUCUGGGCCGGUACUGACACUGAGGCGCGAAAGCUAGGGUAGCAAACGGG
Molecule: ribosomal RNA, 254 nt
Filed under: uncultured bacterium
Lineage: Bacteria
Description: partial 16S ribosomal RNA
Rfam family: Bacterial small subunit ribosomal RNA
Source: RNAcentral